CUACAUAUUGUUUUAACAGGUGCUUUUUGUCGAAAAGACGAAAGAGCUUAAUUGGGAAGUCCGGUGCGAAGCCGGCGCGGUCCCGCCACUGUAAGAGGGGAGUAGCGGUUCGAAAGGCCACUGGCUUGAAGCUGGGAAGGCGAACCGGGAACCAUGAUCCUCAAGCCAGGAGACCAGCCUGUUCAUUGACACGACC
This 196-nucleotide non-coding RNA is filed under the name Paenibacillus sp. Lineage: Bacteria; Bacillati; Bacillota; Bacilli; Caryophanales; Paenibacillaceae. The record is from RNAcentral.